RNAcentral lists this unclassified non-coding RNA (305 nucleotides) under plant metagenome. RNAcentral describes it as "partial contains 5.8S ribosomal RNA, internal transcribed spacer 2, and large subunit ribosomal RNA". The stretch from base 1 to 105 matches the Rfam family "5.8S ribosomal RNA", at positions 50 to 154 of the family's 154-position model. The record is from RNAcentral.
GAAAUGCGAUAAGUAGUGUGAAUUGCAGAAUUCAGUGAAUCAUCGAAUCUUUGAACGCACAUUGCGCCCUUUGGUAUUCCUUAGGGCAUGCCUGUUCGAGCGUCAUCUAAACCUUCAAGCCCUGCUUGGUGUUGGGUGCCUGUCCCGCCUCCGCGCGCGGACUCACCUCAAAUCCAUUGGCGGCCCCCGCGUCGGCCACGAGCGCAGCAGAAACGCGAACUCGUGAGCCCGUCCAGGCGGCUCCCAGAAGCUACACCCACCCAGUUUGACCUCGGAUCAGGUAGGGAUACCCGCUGAACUUAAGC